ACGCUCGACACCUACGGGAAGCAGCAGUGGGGAAUAUUGCACAAUGGGGGAAACCCUGAUGCAGCGACGCCGCGUGAGCGAAGAAGUAUUUCGGUAUGUAAAGCUCUAUCAGCAGGGAAGAAAUUGACGGUACCUGACUAAGAAGCACCGGCUAAAUACGUGCCAACAGCCGCGGUAAUCUGAGCGGGCUGGCAAGGC
RNAcentral lists this ribosomal RNA (198 nucleotides) under uncultured bacterium. RNAcentral's name for it is "partial 16S ribosomal RNA". It matches the Rfam family "Bacterial small subunit ribosomal RNA", at positions 326 to 539 of the family's 1533-position model. The record is from RNAcentral.